GCGGCAUGCUUAACACAUGCAAGUCGAACGGCAGCACAGCAGAGCUUGCUCUGUGGGUGGCGAGUGGCGGACGGGUGAGUAAUGCAUCGGGACCUACCCAGACGUGGGGGAUAACGUAGGGAAACUUACGCUAAUACCGCAUACGUCCUACGGGAGAAAGCGGGGGACCUUCGGGCCUCGCGCGGUUGGAUGGACCGAUGUGCGAUUAGCUUGUUGGUGAGGUAACGGCUCACCAAGGCGACGAUCGCUAGCUGGUCUGAGAGGAUGAUCAGCCACACUGGGACUGAGACACGGCCCAGACUCCUACGGGAGGCAGCAGUGGGGAAUAUUGGACAAUGGGCGCAAGCCUGAUCCAGCAAUGCCGCGUGUGUGAAGAAGGCCUUCGGGUUGUAAAGCACUUUUAUCAGGAGCGAAAUCUGCAGGGCUAAUACCCAUGCAGUCUGACGGUACCUGAGGAAUAAGCACCGGCUAACUCCGUG
RNAcentral lists this ribosomal RNA (479 nucleotides) under uncultured Lysobacteraceae bacterium. RNAcentral describes it as "bacterial SSU rRNA". It matches the Rfam family "Bacterial small subunit ribosomal RNA", at positions 39 to 507 of the family's 1533-position model. Lineage: Bacteria; Pseudomonadati; Pseudomonadota; Gammaproteobacteria; Lysobacterales; Lysobacteraceae. The record is from RNAcentral.